UCCGUAGCCGGGUUGUUAAGUCUCCCGGGAAAUCCAACGGCUUAACCGUUGGGCGUUCGGGGGAUACUGGCAAUCUAGGGAUCGGGGGAGGUGAGAGGUACUCUAGGGGUAGGAGUGAAAUCCUGUAAUCCUUGGGGGACCACCUGUGGCGAAGGCGUCUCACCAGAACGACUCCGACGGUGAGGGACGAAAGCUGGGGGAGCAAACCGGAUUAGAUACCCGGGUAGUCCCAGCUGUAAACGAUGCGCGUUAGGUGUAUCGGUGACUACGAGUUACCGAGGUGCCGAAGGGAAACCGUGAAACGUGCCGCCUGGGAAGUACGGUCGCAAGGCUGAA
This 336-nucleotide ribosomal RNA is filed under the name uncultured bacterium. Its description in RNAcentral is "bacterial SSU rRNA". It matches the Rfam family "Archaeal small subunit ribosomal RNA", at positions 518 to 853 of the family's 1478-position model. The record is from RNAcentral.